Long non-coding RNA from Centruroides sculpturatus (bark scorpion), 642 nucleotides. RefSeq lists it as uncharacterized. The transcript is spliced from 3 exons. Lineage: Eukaryota; Metazoa; Arthropoda; Arachnida; Scorpiones; Buthidae. The record is from RefSeq and is a predicted model, not a curated record.
AUUUUAAAUAUUAGUCAGGGAAAAAUUUGUGUGGUGCUUCGUUUAUUGAUCUAACAGAAAGGGUGUGCAAGAUUCAAUCUCCAAGGCCAUCACAACUUUCAGACUUCUCAGAAGAAGAAGAAUACGAAUAUGAAAGAGAAGCUACUUCGGAACCCGAACCAAAUCUAUUAUUAGACACUGAUAGGGAGGAUGAGCUUUCUCCCACAAACUCUCAACAAAUAGGCUCUCUAUCAGAUGUCGAAUAGAUCGUCUCGUAAUUAUUUAAAGUUAAUUUUAGUGCCAAUAAGUUAAGAUUAAAUCUUACAGAUUACUAAAAUAAUUUCAGUUGUUUUAGUUUUGAUUUCUCUGCAAAAUUAUAACUAAAAAGCCAAUUUUCAUAUUAUAAACAUAUUAUGAUGAAAAAUUAAGUAUUUUAUAAAUUAUGUUAGUCAAAUUUUGUUAUGAAAAUGAAUUUCAUUCUUUAAAAUCAUUUACUUGUAAAUUGUUGAAAAUGAAUAUUCUAUUUUUUAAUUAUGUUUAUUAAUUCAACAAAUGAAAGAAUGAAUAGUAUAACUGUAGAAUAACCCAAAGUUGUUUAUAGAUGUACAUAAUCUUUGUAAUAUUUUGUAAAGUUGUUAAAUAAUAAAUUCAAUUUUAAUAUUA